Molecule: ribosomal RNA, 298 nt
Filed under: uncultured eukaryote
Lineage: Eukaryota
Description: partial 18S ribosomal RNA
Rfam family: Eukaryotic small subunit ribosomal RNA
Source: RNAcentral
CCCUUAGACACUCUAGGCGGCACGCGCGCUACAAUGGGUGGAAGAACGUGUUGCUGCCUCCGAAAGGAGGGGUGAAUCACGAAUUCUUGCCCGUGAAUGGGAUAGUUUGUUGCAAUUUUCGGACUUGAACUAGGAAUCCCUUGUAAACAUGCUCAAGAAUAGCGUGUUGAAUACGUCCCUGCCGUUUGUACACACCGCCCGUCGUUUCUUCCGACUGAUACUCAUUGUGAGUUGCAAGGACCCUUUAUUGGGAAAUUGCUGCAAAUGCUUUGUAUUGGAGGAAGAAAAAGUCGUAACA